GGGGUUAUUCAAGGCCAAAUUCGUAUCCACCAGGCUGCCCUCCCUUUAGUAAGGAGUAAAUUUCCCUGCACCAGAAUUCGCGUCGUGCUGCCCUACGCAUCAUUGCAACGACUGAUCCCGAAUUUUGGAAGACAUGAAUCACAUCGCGAACUUUUAAACGGUCCAAUUCGUGAGAGUUUAAACGUGUUUGUCUUCUCGUCAGUAUUCGUCAAAGUUGGGGGAGAAGCUUACCUAAUUCGGUUUGGAAAAUUGUCUUCCGGUUAAACUUGCAAUGUCUAUUUUCACUAGGGAAUCCUGUACUUUAUCCGUUACCAAGUUAUGUUGAAACAAUAAUCUAUUUCAUAUUUUUAUCUGACAUGUUAUACACUCUAAAUAAAAAUGAGUAAAAUUUACUCA
This is a long non-coding RNA of Folsomia candida, 396 nucleotides long. RefSeq lists it as uncharacterized. The transcript has 2 exons. The record is from RefSeq and is a predicted model, not a curated record. Lineage: Eukaryota; Metazoa; Arthropoda; Collembola; Entomobryomorpha; Isotomidae.